GUGGGGAAUAUUGGACAAUGGGCGAAAGCCUGAUCCAGCCAUGCCGCGUGUGUGAAGAAGGUCUUCGGAUUGUAAAGCACUUUAAGUUGGGAGGAAGGGCAGUAAGUUAAUACCUUGCUGUUUUGACGUUACCGACAGAAUAAGCACCGGCUAACUUCGUGCCAGCAGCCGCGGUAAUACGAAGGGUGCAAGCGUUAAUCGGAAUUACUGGGCGUAACGCGCGCGUAGGUGGUUUUGUAAGUUGGAGGUGAAAUCCCCGGGCUCAACCUGGGAACUGCCUCCAAAACUGCAUGACUAGAGUACGGUAGAGGGUAGUGGAAUUUCCUGUGUAGCGGUGAAAUGCGUAGAUAUAGGAAGGAACACCAGUGGCGAAGGCGACUACCUGGACUGAUACUGACACUGAGGUGCGAAAGCGUGGGGAGCAAACAGGAUUAGAAACCCUGGUAGUCC
RNAcentral lists this ribosomal RNA (450 nucleotides) under uncultured bacterium. Its description in RNAcentral is "partial 16S ribosomal RNA". It matches the Rfam family "Bacterial small subunit ribosomal RNA", at positions 354 to 796 of the family's 1533-position model. The record is from RNAcentral.